This 372-nucleotide ribosomal RNA is filed under the name uncultured cyanobacterium. RNAcentral's name for it is "bacterial SSU rRNA". It matches the Rfam family "Bacterial small subunit ribosomal RNA", at positions 377 to 763 of the family's 1533-position model. The record is from RNAcentral. Lineage: Bacteria; Bacillati; Cyanobacteriota.
GAAACCCUGACGUAGCGACACCGCGUGAGCGAAGAAGCCCUUCGGGGUGUAAAGCUCUGUCAGCUGGGACGAAAAAAAUGACGGUACCAGCAGAGGAAGCAUCGGCUAACUACGUGCCAGCAGCCGCGGUAAGACGUAGGAUGCAAGCGUUGUCCGGAUUUAUUGGGCGUAAAGAGUUCGUAGGUGGUUUGUUAAGUCUGAUGUUAAGGAUCGAGGCUCAACCUCGGGAGUGCAUCGGAUACUGGCAGACUAGAGUAUGGUAGAGGCAAGCGGAAUUCCCAGUGUAGCGGUGAAAUGCGUAGAUAUUGGGAAGAACACCGGUGGCGUAGGCGGCUUGCUGGGCCAUAACUGACACUGAGGAACGAAAGCCAG